CCCUCCCCAAAUCACUCCAAAAACAAUCCCCAAUUCUACACAAGUGUUUCUACACUAACAAAGCAACAGCUCCUUAACGAAUUCCCAACUUUACAUGAGCUCGUCUCUCGAGGUUAAAUGUUAUUACUUGGUAAGAUUCCGGACCUCGCCAAGUGUUUUGAAAACCCGCAACGCUCGCAAAGGUGGAUAGUGAGAAUAAUAAGUGAAGAGACAGACUUGUCCAAAACGCCCACCACGAAGGUGCAUAGUGAGAAGAGUAAGUCAAGAGAUAGACUUGUCCAAAAAGAAACGGAAGAGAAAGCUUGGGGAGACGCUCACGAAGGUGCAUAGUGAGAAGAGUAAGUCAAGAGAUAGACUUGUUCAAAAAGAAACAGAAGAGAAUGCUUGGGGUUACACUCACGAAGGUGCAUAGUGAGAAGAGUAAGUCAAGAGACAGACUUGUUCAAAAAGAAACAAAAGAGAAUGCUUGGGGAGAUAGAAGUGUGAGAUAGUUCUCAAGCUAAGAAAGUUGUAAAAGCUAAGAACUAGCAUCAAAUGAUGGAUGAAACACAAGGUAGUUGUUGAAAAGUCAAACACUUGGUGAUAUGAACACAAACGCUCAAUAUGACAAACCCAUGCCAAGUAAAGAGAAAAUGAAAACUGGUGAUUGUUGCGGGAAAUCGUCCAGGAUUCCUCGACCAGGACUUGAAAUCGUCGAGGGAAAAAAAAUCGGUUCCAGGAAUCGUCGAUCCGGACUUGGAAUCGUCGAGAAAAGUUUACCGGGUCCGAGGAAUCGUCGAG
Molecule: unclassified non-coding RNA, 780 nt
Filed under: Arabidopsis thaliana (thale cress)
Lineage: Eukaryota; Viridiplantae; Streptophyta; Magnoliopsida; Brassicales; Brassicaceae
Description: 3' external transcribed spacer
Source: RNAcentral